CUGGACAGGCUGGUUUGCUGCCAUGAUCCCUAGGCUACUCCCACUGCUCUGUCUCAGGCUGUGCGCUGGCCAAGGAAGCAGGGGGACUGAUGAGCCCCUUCCCAAGCCCACCCUCAGGGCCUGGCCCAGCUGGGUGGUGCCUCCCAGAAGCAAUGUAAGGCUGCGAUGCCAGACCCCGACCAAGGAUGUCGACUUUGUUC
Herpailurus yagouaroundi (jaguarundi) is the source of this 200-nucleotide long non-coding RNA. RefSeq lists it as uncharacterized. The transcript is spliced from 3 exons. NCBI's taxonomy places the organism in Eukaryota, Metazoa, Chordata, Mammalia, Carnivora, Felidae. The record is from RefSeq and is a predicted model, not a curated record.